UACGGAGGGUGCGAGCGUUGUUCGGAAUUACUGGGCGUAAAGGGCGCGUAGGCGGCCUGUUAAGUCGAACGUGAAAUCCCCGGGCUCAACCCGGGAACUGCGUCCGAUACUGGCAGGCUUGAAUCCGGGAGAGGGAUGCGGAAUUCCAGGUGUAGCGGUGAAAUGCGUAGAUAUCUGGAGGAACACCGGUGGCGAAGGCGGCAUCCUGGACCGGCAUUGACGCUGAGGCGCGAAAGCCAGGGGAGCAAACGGG
RNAcentral lists this ribosomal RNA (253 nucleotides) under uncultured bacterium. RNAcentral's name for it is "partial 16S ribosomal RNA". It matches the Rfam family "Bacterial small subunit ribosomal RNA", at positions 524 to 776 of the family's 1533-position model. The record is from RNAcentral.